RNAcentral lists this ribosomal RNA (1665 nucleotides) under Triticum aestivum (bread wheat). RNAcentral describes it as "partial small subunit ribosomal RNA". The record is from RNAcentral. Lineage: Eukaryota; Viridiplantae; Streptophyta; Magnoliopsida; Poales; Poaceae.
AUGCCUCCCCUCUACAUAUUAUCACUCUGGCUUCUCUUCGUGCACACUACUCCUUGGUGCUCCUCCUCUGCAACUGCAAGCAAUGACACUCUCAUGGCAGGCCAAAACCUGGCCUUCGCUGACAAGCUUGUCUCGAGAAACGGCAAGUUCGCGCUUGGCUUCUUCCAGUUCCAUCCAGCAAGCACCAUCAGUAAGUCAUCCCACAACACCACAUCUCCCAGCCCCAGCUUGUGGUACCUUGGCAUAUGGUUCAAUAAGAUCCCAGUUCUCACAACCGUAUGGAUUGCUAAUAGGGAUCAGCCCAUCACCAACCCCAAUGUCAACCUAACACAGCUCAAGAUAUCAAGAGAUGGCAAUCUUGUCAUAGUAAACCAUGCCGCCAACAAUGAAUCCAUUGUUUGGUCCACUCACAUUGUCAAUAAUAGGACACACAGCAGCAUCAAAGCCACUAGUUCUGCCGUUCUCUUGAACAGUGGAAACCUUGUCCUCAAAGAGAGCCGGUCAUCUGACCUACUGGCAUGGCAGAGCUUCGACUACCCAACAGAUGUUGUGCUUGCUGGUGCCAAGUUAGGCCGAAACAAGGUCAUUAGUUUCACUCGCCAACCCAUCUCAAAGAAGAGCCUCAUUGAUCCGGGGCUCGGCUCAUACAGCAUUGAAUUAGAAGACACCAGGGGGCUUGUCCUCAGUCGCCGCAACAACCCAUCUGUAGUGUAUUGGCAGUAUGCAUCCUCCACAACAUCAUCAUUCAAUCUUGUGCGAGUACUCAACUCACUGCUUGAUUCCAAUCCUCUGACCAAAGGCUUAUAUAACCUAGUAUAUGUUGAUAAUGACCAAGAGGAGUACUACAUGUACACUUCACAUAAUGAACCAUCGCCUUCUGUAUUUGUCUCACUAGACAUGUCUGGUCAGAUAAAGCUGAAUCACUGGUCGCAAGCUAAUCAGUCUUGGCAAAUCAUAUAUGCCCAACCUGACGAUCCCUGCAACGCGCCUGCUGCCUGUGGACCUUUUACAGUGUGCAGAGGCAAUCCAAAUCCAUCAUGUGACUGCAUGGAGAGCUUCUCUCAGAAGUCGCCGCAGGAUUGGAAGUUUCAAGAUCGAACAGGAGGAUGCAUCAGAAAUACACCUUUACAUUGCACUAGUGACAAAAACAUCACAAGUUCAACAGACAUGUUCCAGCCCAUUGCUCAAGUUACAUUGCCCUACAGCCCACAAAUCAUAGCCGUUGCCACCACUCAGAGCGAAUGCGAAGAAACUUGUCUCGGUUCCUGCUCCUGCACUGCUUAUUCCUAUAAUGAUAGCAAAUGCUCUGUCUGGAAUGGGGAGUUGCUUAGUGUAACUCUUAGUGAUGGCAUUGAAUACACUUCUAAAGAUGUUCUUUAUCUCCGUCUUGCUGCCAAAGAUUUCAUGCCAAGUUUGAGGAAAAACAAAAGAAAACCAAACGUUGGAGUUGUUACCGCUGCAAGCAUUAUUGGUUUUGGGUUACUCAUGCUCAUGUUUCUGUUACUGAUUUGGAGGAACAGAUUUAAGUGGUGUGGUUUUCUUUCAUCAUACUAUGACAAUCAAGGCAGUGUUGGCGGGAUUAUAGCCUUCAGAUAUACUGAUUUAGUUCGUGCUACUAAAAACUUCUCUGACAAGCUUGGUGGUGGAGGUUUUGGUUCUGUAUAA